UUGUUGGGGUUGUAGGACUCCAAUAUGGUAGUCUGUUAGUAUAGUUGAAGGAUUUGGAAAAUUCCGCUAAAGAGGGUGAAAGCCCCGUAGACGAAAUGCUGACAACACCUAGGAGGAUCCUGAGUACGGCGGAACACGAGAAAUUCCGUCGGAAUCCGCGGGGACCAUCCCGCAAGGCUAAAUACUCCCUAGUGACCGAUAGUGAACCAGUACCGUGAGGGAAAGGUGAAAAGCACCCCGGAAGGGGAGUGAAAUAGAUCCUGAAACCGUGUGCCUACAACAAGUCAAAGCUCGUUAAUGAGUGAUGGCGUGCCUUUUGUAGAAUGAACCGGCGAGUUACGAUUGCAUGCGAGGUUAAGUCGAAGAGACGGAGCCGCAGCGAAAGCGAGUCUGAAUAGGGCGAAUGAGUAUGUAGUCGUAGACCCGAAACCAUGUGAUCUACCCAUGUCCAGGUUGAAGGUGCGGUAAAACGCACUGGAGGACCGAACCCACGUACGUUGAAAAGUGCGGGGAUGAGGUGUGGGUAGCGGAGAAAUUCCAAACGAACUUGGAGAUAGCUGGUUCUCUCCGAAAUAGCUUUAGGGCUAGCCUCGGAAUUGAGAAUGAUGGAGGUAGAGCACUGUUUGGACUAGGGGCCCAUCUCGGGUUACCGAAUUCAGAUAAACUCCGAAUGCCAUUCAUUUAUAUCCGGGAGUCAGACUGCGAGUGAUAAGAUCCGUAGUCGAAAGGGAAACAGCCCAGACCACCAGCUAAGGUCCCAAAAUAUAUGUUAAGUGGAAAAGGAUGUGGGGUUGCACAGACAACUAGGAUGUUGGCUUAGAAGCAGCCACCAUUUAAAGAGUGCGUAAUAGCUCACUAGUCGAGUGACCCUGCGCCGAAAAUGUACCGGGGCUAAACAUAUUACCGAAGCUGUGGACUACACCAUUAGGUGUAGUGGUAGGAGAGCGUUCUAAGGGCGUUGAAGGUCGAUCGUGAGGACGGCUGGAGCGCUUAGAAGUGAGAAUGCCGGUAUGAGUAGCGAAAGACAGGUGAGAAUCCUGUCCACCGUAUGACUAAGGUUUCCUGGGGAAGGCUCGUCCGCCCAGGGUUAGUCGGGACCUAAGCCGAGGCCGAUAGGCGUAGGCGAUGGACAACAGGUUGAUAUUCCUGUACCAGUUGUUUUUGUUUGAGCAAUGGAGGGACGCAGUAGGCUAAGGAAUGCAUGCGAUUGGAAGUGCAUGUCCAAGCAAUGAGUCUUGAG
This 1240-nucleotide ribosomal RNA is filed under the name Enterococcus faecalis. Its description in RNAcentral is "partial 23S ribosomal RNA". It matches the Rfam family "Bacterial large subunit ribosomal RNA", at positions 289 to 1530 of the family's 2925-position model. Lineage: Bacteria; Bacillati; Bacillota; Bacilli; Lactobacillales; Enterococcaceae. The record is from RNAcentral.